Molecule: ribosomal RNA, 602 nt
Filed under: Pyractonema sp. CO1063
Lineage: Eukaryota; Metazoa; Arthropoda; Insecta; Coleoptera; Lampyridae
Description: SSU rRNA
Rfam family: Eukaryotic small subunit ribosomal RNA
Source: RNAcentral
UAGGCGGGGGCCGGCAACGUUACUUUGAACAAAUUAAAGUGCUUAAAGCAGGCUAAAUUGCGCUCGCAUACACGCGCAUGGAAUAAUCGAAUAGGACCUCCGUUCUAUUUUGUUGGGUUUUUGUGGAACGACAGACGGAGGUAAUGAUCAAUGGGUGCGGAUGGGGGCAUUCGUAUUGCGACGUUAGAGGUGAAAUUCUUGGAUCGUCGCAAGACGGACUUAAGCGAAAGCAUUUGCCAAAAACGCUUUCAUCGAUCAAGAACGAAAGUUAGAGGUUCGAAGGCGAUCAGAUACCGCCCUAGUUCUAACCAUAAACUAUGCCAGCUAGCGAUCCGCCGAAGUUACUUCUAUGACUCGGCGGGCAGCUUCCGGGAAACCAAAGCUUUCGGGUUCCGGGGGAAGUAUGGUUGCAAAGCUGAAACUUAAAGGAAUUGACGGAAGGGCACCACCAGGAGUGGAGCCUGCGGCUUAAUUUGACUCAACACGGGAAACCUCACCAGGCCCGGACACCGGAAGGAUUGACAGAUUGAGAGCUCUUUCUUGAUUCGGUGGGUGGUGGUGCAUGGCCGUUCUUAGUUGGUGGAGCGAUUUGUCUGGUUAAU